RNAcentral lists this non-coding RNA (24 nucleotides) under Rattus norvegicus (Norway rat). The record is from RNAcentral. Lineage: Eukaryota; Metazoa; Chordata; Mammalia; Rodentia; Muridae.
AGCUGUCACUUUCUCCUACAGUUU